UUAUGGACGGCUUCAGCCCGUCAGUGGCGCAGGCUAAUGUUAUAGUGGCUGCCGUGAUGUGUGACUUGCUGGGCCCAUGCUCCUCCCUGGUGCUCCUCUUGACCGAAGUCGCUGAAGUUAGAGUUGAUUGAAGAUCUGGACAGCAUGUGGAUGAUCUUCCACCAAUCAGAGAUGAUUUGAAAAAUCAGCGUGUUCGGUGAGGGCUGGAACCUAGUCCACGCUAGGUCCUCUGGCUCACCACACCCGCACACUAACCACUCGGCCACCGCCUCCCCAGAGUUCCACUUAAUCUUAAAUUUCACUUAAAAUUAAACACUUCAGUAACUGAAUGUGUAGUAAUAGUACUUCAUAAAUGUUAAAUGAUGAUCUAAUCAAGAAAUAUGGGCAUUGAAAUGUAGCGUUUGUAAUUAUAAAGGUUGCGUUUAUCAUCGGCGCAAGGCGAUAGUCUAUUCUUGUUUGCAAACAAGAGCACAUGUGUUGUGCUGCCGGUGCCGUAUCGAGACCUGCUGCCUUUCACCGUUAUUACUGGGGCCGCAUACUCAAAACAUUCAAAAGUGCCUUUCGUGGCAACGACACCUUUCCGCCCCACCGUUCCCCGAAAAGUGCGUAAACAGAAGCUCACCAGGUUGGCGCCAUCUUUGAAAACAGGGCUCAUAAGUGCCUUUGCUGAAAGGUAGGGACGGAGCUGCUGUUGAGGAGACAAAGGUAGGGACGGAGCUGCUGUUGAGGAGGCAAAGGUAGGGACGGAGCUGCUGUUGAGGAGGCAAAGGUAGGGACGGAGCUGCUGUUGAGGAGACAAAGGUAGGGACGGAGCUGCUGUUGAGGAGGCAAAGGUAGGGACGGAGCUGCUGUUGAGGAGGCAAAGGUAGGGAUGGAGCUGCUGUUGAGGAGACAAAGGUAGGGACGGAGCUGCUGUUGAGGAGGCAAAGGUAGGGACGAAGAUGCUGUUGAGGAGGCAAAGGUAGGGACGGAGCUGCUGUUGAGGAGGCAAAGGUAGGGACGGAGCUGCUGUUGAGGAGGCAAAGGUAGGGACGGAGCUGCUGUUGAGGAGGCAAAGGUAGGGACGGAGCUGCUGUUGAGGAGGCAAAGGUAGGGACGGAGCUGCUGUUGAGGAGGCAAAGGUAGGGACGGAGCUGCUGUUGAGGAGGCAAAGGUAGGGACGAAGAUGCUGUUGAGGAGGCAAAGGUAGGGACGGAGCUGCUGUUGAGGAGGCAAAGGUAGGGACGGAGCUGCUGUUGAGGAGGCAAAGGUAGGGACGAAGAUGCUGUUGAGGAGGCAAAGGUAGGGACGGAGCUGCUGUUGAGGAGGCAAAGGUAGGGACGGAGCUGCUGUUGAGGAGGCAAAGGUAGGGACGGAGCUGCUGUUGAGGAGGCAAAGGUAGGGACGGAGCUGCUGUUGAGGAGGCAAAGGUAGGGACGGAGCUGCUGUUGAGGAGGCAAAGGUAGGGACGGAGCUGCUGUUGAGGAGGCAAAGGUAGGGACGAAGAUGCUGUUGAGGAGGCAAAGGUAGGGACGGAGCUGCUGUUGAGGAGGCAAAGGUAGGGACGGAGCUGCUGUUGAGGAGGCAAAGGUAGGGACGGAGAUGCUGUUGAGGAGGCAAAGGUAGGGACGGAGCUGCUGUUGAGGAGGCAAAGGUAGGGACGGAGCUGCUGUUGAGGAGGCAAAGGUAGGGACGAAGAUGCUGUUGAGGAGGCAAAGGAGGACAACACAAGUCUCCCAGCUCACAAUUAUAUGAAAUACAACCUCAUAACUUGGUUUUGAGUGAAAUACAUAAUUUCAAGAGUUAUUACUGGGUGGCAGCACCAUAGUAAACUUAUAUUGCCUAAUCAAAUAAGGAGUUAUGAAUGAUUUCUAGGGAUUUUGAGUUGAUUCAUGAACAGUUAUAUAAUACUGUUUUAUCCACUCACAGUGAGGUGGACCCCAAGUAACACUAUAAUAGGCUAGUAAAUGGAGUUACAUUACUUCAGUAGAUAGGACAAUCGAUGGUGUUGUUAUUGAUAAGGGAUCAUGGGAAUGUGGCUACUGCCGAGUGUCAGGCUACGUAUUGUUUUUUAUUGCUUCUCAACGGACAAAGGGUACUUCUCACCCUCACCUGUAUCAGCAUGUUUUCUCACUCUGCACCAUGCGAGGAUUCUAGAAUGUUCCCUCCACUUCUUGAUGCCGUAGCAGCCAGCUGUGGACAGUGCUGAGUGAUUGGCUCACACUUCUAAAAUCACAGUUGUCAUGGGAGCUGUGACUGGUUGACUCGUGAAAAGGUGCCUGUGAGGAAAAUCCCGCCUUUCAGCGAUUCAGCAUGCCAAUGUCGCCUUUGAAAAUGUUUGUAUAUCGGGAUCCAGCCGAAAUGAAAAGCGUCGUUGGUGCGCCGUUUGAAACGGCGCCUUCCGUUAACUGGUGUCUGUUGGUAAGGCGUGUUUUGCGUACAUGGCCCGUGGACCACUGGGCCUGUUAUUUGGUAGGAUAGGAUGUAUUUACUCUACUAGCAAUUCUAUAGGAGUUCUACUCUACUGAGGAAGCGGUGGUGGAGUCGUUAGCAUGCCAGUCCUGCGUUUCACCGUGUCCAGGAUGAUGUGGGUUCAAAUCCGCCGCUACCGGCCAGGAGAUGGCACCACUAUAAACACUUGCCUGUGCCAUGAUGGACGGGCCUUGGCCGAACACCAGGCCCAACCAAGAAAGCACACCAGCGCUAUGGGCGUGAACGGGGGGAAAAAAAAAAAAAAAAAAAAAAAAAAAAAAAAAAAAAUAGAA
Long non-coding RNA from Eriocheir sinensis (Chinese mitten crab), 2744 nucleotides. RefSeq lists it as uncharacterized. The record is from RefSeq and is a predicted model, not a curated record. Lineage: Eukaryota; Metazoa; Arthropoda; Malacostraca; Decapoda; Varunidae. The transcript has 6 exons.